RNA transcript from Sphaeramia orbicularis (orbiculate cardinalfish), 9446 nucleotides. It is a transcript of the gene named aggrecan core protein-like, with no coding region annotated. The record is from RefSeq and is a predicted model, not a curated record. NCBI's taxonomy places the organism in Eukaryota, Metazoa, Chordata, Actinopteri, Kurtiformes, Apogonidae. The transcript is spliced from 20 exons.
GCAGCAGCAGACGGAGGCCUCUGGAACAUCCACGGUACGCUCAGCGCUAAACACCGGACACCAACUAAACGGAUUAUUAUAAAGGGACCCUGAACGCCCCAUCCAGUCGCUGGGUCACAGGUCAUGAUGAGUCCUCUGUUCCUGCUUUGCCUAACUCUCCCUUUCAUCUCUGCUACGCUCUCGUCUGAAAAACACCACGAUGUGGACGGUACUCUGCGGGUCAGCAUCCCUCUGGAGUCGUCUCUUCGUCCUCUGCUCGGCGGUAAAGUCGUAGUUCCGUGUUACUUCCAGGACAACACGGUGAACGACCCCGGAGCCCCCACCGUGGCCCCGCUGUCCCACCGCAUCAAAUGGACCCACGUGGUCAAGAACAAGGUCAGCACCAUCCUGGUGGCGUCGGAGGGGAAGGUCCAGGUGGAGACGGACUACCUGGACAGAGUGACCCUGGUCAACUACCCCCUGGUGCCCACCGACGCCACCAUGGAGCUGACCGAGCUGCGCUCCAGAGACUCCGGAACCUACCGCUGUGAGGUCAUGCACGGCAUCGAGGACAACUACGACUCUGUGGACAUCCAGGUCCAGGGUAUUGUGUUCCACUACAGAGCCAUCUCCACCCGGUACACUCUGACCUUUGAGAAGGCCAAGGCCGCCUGCAUCCAGAACAGCGCCUCUAUCGCCACGCCAGCUCAGCUUCAAGCCGCUUACGACGACGGAUACCACCAGUGUGACGCAGGAUGGCUGUCGGACCAGACCGUCAGGUAUCCCAUCCAUGAACCUCGGGAACGUUGUUUUGGAGACAAGGAGAACUUCCCUGGAGUGAGAACCUAUGGAGUGAGAGAUGCCAAUGAGACGUAUGAUGUGUACUGUUUCGCUGAGAAGAUCUCAGGCCGAGUCUUCUACUCCACAUCUGUUGAGAAGUUUUCCUUCUAUGAAGCCGCAGAUCAGUGCACAAAGCUGGGCGCUCGUCUGGCCACCACUGGGGAGCUGUACGUGGCCUGGAAGAACGGUAUGGACGUGUGCAGCGCCGGCUGGUUGGCUGACCGCAGUGUCCGCUACCCCAUCAACAUCGCCCGGCCUCAGUGUGGAGGAGGGCUGCUGGGGGUCCGGACCGUCUAUCUGUUCCCCAACCAGACCGGAUACCCCUACCCCGACUCCAGAUACGACGCCAUCUGCUUCCAAGCUGGUGAGGACGAAGGUGCCGUCCCUCAGAGGACCACCCCGUUCCCAGACAUCAUCCACCAAACCCCGGCCCCAGCCAGUCCCUACCCCGGCCUCACACCCCCUCCUGGAGGAGAGGAGGUCCGACAUGGAGAGGUGGACACCCUGUCCCCUCUGGCCGUCCCACCAAGUGUGACCGACUCCUACUCUGGAGUGACCGCAGUGGGACCGGACGUCCACAUGUCCCCGACAGGUGUGGUGUUUCACUAUCGACCAAUCACAGGUCGGUACACUCUGACCUUUGUGGAGGCUCAAGAGGCGUGUCAGAGCGUUGGCGCCAUCAUCGCCAGCCCUCAACAGCUUCAGGCCGCCUUCGAGAAAGGACUGCACCAGUGCGACGCCGGGUGGUUACGAGACCAGACUGUCAGGUAUCCCAUCGUAUCUCCCAGAGGUAACUGUGCAGGAAAUCUUCUUCAAUUUCCUGGAGUCAGAUCAUAUGGUCUGAGGCCUGCCUUCGAACGCUAUGACGUCUUCUGUUAUGUGGACCGUUUGAGAGGUGAGGUUUUCUACACCAGUGACUACGACAGUUUCUCAUACGACGAAGCCGUGCAGCACUGUCAAAAACUGAACACCACCCUGGCCACACCUGGUCAGCUGUACGCUGCCUGGAAACAGGGUCUGGAUAAAUGUAGGCCAGGCUGGCUCCUGGACCGAAGUGUCCGCUACCCCAUCACCACACCCAGAACCCAGUGCGGAGGAGGACAGGUGGGGGUCCACAUCAUCUACGCCUUCCCCAACCAGACGGGGUUUCCAGACGAGCACUCCCGCUACGACGCCUACUGUUACAAAGCUGCACCAUCACUCAUUCACGUUGAAAAUGACACCAGUGUCACCGUGACGACAGUAAAACAGGAAGUUGAUCCCAGGACAACUGUUGUACCUGAUCACUUUGUCUCGACUGUUCAAACAACAACACCACCACCACCAACAACAACAACUGUGAGCUACAACGACACCAAGAUCCAUGUAAAUACCACUGAGAUAGAAGAGGAGGUCAUUGGCAAAGCGACGGCACCGACUCAGGAACACAUGGCUCCAACCAUGUUUCCUUCAGUGUUUCCCUCAGUCCAACCUUCAGUCCCAGUUGAUGUGUCUGGUUCUGGUUCUGGUUCUGGUUUGGCCGAACCCUCAGCCAGUGGUGACGGUUCAGGGGAGUCGAGCAGUUCCGGCCCCAGUGGUGACGUUUCUGGUUCAGGACUUGACGUGGUCUUCAGCGGCCGUCAUGACCAGGUUUCCGGUGUGGGGUCAGCCUCUGGAGGUCCACAGGAGGCCGAGGGAGGGAGCGCCGUCAUCUUCUCAUCUGGAGAACAAGGAAGUGCAUCUGGAUCUGGGUUCCAGUCUGGGUUCAGUGUGUCUGGAUCUGCCAGUGGGGAUGUCAGUGGAGAGACUGAAAUCCUCCUGGUGGACCAACAAAUGGAGAAACUGACCCAAACACAGACAGAGCAGGAAUUAGGACAGGGGAGUAUCGAGACCAGCGGUGUGUCUGGAUUUGGAUCAGGAGCUGAGUCUGGAUCAGGCUCUGGUGGGUUUUCUGGGGUGUUGCUGGUGGACCACAGUUUGACGGACCGCACAGUCCACCCAUCUGUAGAGCAGGAGGUGUCUGGGUACCGUCCUUUGGGAUCAGGACUCCACAGCGGUUUUCCCAGUGGUUUUCCCUCUGGAAGCGGUUCAGUUUCCGGAGACAUGUUCCAGCAUCGUGGUGAUGUGAUCUAUAUCACAGACCGAGACCAGGACCUGACGGAGGUGACGGUGCGGCCAGAGGAGCGUCAGCCGGAGCAGGGUCGGGGGGUGGUGGAGGUGAGCGGCGAGGGCAGCGGGUCAGGGGUCACCGGUGAACAAACAGCCAGCACCGACCAAUCAGGAGAGGAGGAGCAGGACAUCCACACCGUGACCCAGGAUACAACCUACACCAGUCCAACCACAGCUCCAUCUGUGUCUCUGGCACCCCCUGCUGUGGUGGAGCCGCCUGCAGUUGCAACAGCAGCACAGACGUGUGCCGAGGGCUGGAUGGAGUUCAGGGGCAGCUGUUACCUGCACUUUGAAGAGAGAGACACGUGGUCGGAGGCAGAGCAACGCUGUCAGCAGCUCAACGCUCACCUGGUCAGCAUCGGCUCCCAGGAGGAGCAGCAGUUUGUCAACUCCAACGGUCAGGACUACCAGUGGAUUGGACUCAAUGACAAAGAUGUCCAAAACGAGUUCCGCUGGACGGACGGCAGUCCUCUGACUUUUAUGAACUGGAGACCCAACCAGCCUGAUAACUACUUUGGGACUGGUGAGGACUGUGUGGUGAUGAUCUGGCAUGAAGGAGGACAGUGGAAUGACGUACCCUGCAACUACCACCUGCCCUUCACCUGCAAGGCCGCCCCAGUUACAUGCGGAUCUCCACCUGAGGUGGAACAUGCCCGUCCACUCGGCGGCAGCAGAGAUCAUUAUCCUGUUGACUCAAUAGUCCGUUAUCAGUGCGACACAGGCUUCAUGCAGCGCCACCUUCCUGUCAUACGUUGCAUGGCGGAUGGGCAGUGGGAGGAGCCACAGGUUCAAUGUACACAAGGGAGCGCUGACAGUAACCGGCUACACAAACGAUCUGUCAGGAGGAGUAAAGGCUUCAGACAGGAACAGAGGAAGCUCUGAGCAGGACUGAAACACAAAGGACCCCAAACCCCCAAAACAUAGAGUGGACGCCGCUGUCAUUACUCAACCAAAAACACACCUGCCCCUCUGUACAUUCACAAACACCACAACAUGUUGGAUGUGUAAGUUGUCAUUUGCCCAGGUCAUUGUUCAUCCUUAGCAUGCUUCUAAGUUCAGCAGGAGGUGAUUUAUUUAAAAGGUUUUGUCUCUCAUCCAAGAGACUUCAUCAGUUCAGUUUAAUGGUGGGGGAAAGCAGACUAAUUAUAAACCUGUAGGGGUAGUGGUCUGUGGUCAUUUGUGGGUUUUGUGUCUGAGUUUCAGGGUUAUUUUGAAAAGGUGGAUCGUUGUCCAAGUCUUUUGGGCGUGGGGAUGCUUGACUGCUCUCAGGUGAGUCCAGGUCUGACAGAUUGCUUGUUAAGAAUUACUUAGGGAGGCUGUUUGAAAUAGUGGCAGUGGUGUUACUAUGUGUGAUGGUGAAUACAAAAGGAUCCAUUGGUCCAUGUGGGUUGGUUUCCUGUAAAUGUCUGUGGUUAAUACUUUCUCACUUGGUUGAAUGUUGCAGUCCAGGAAAGGCAGGCUCUUAUCAUAGAUGUUCCUGUGUGAACUUGAUCUUAUGGUCCACUGAGCUGAUGUGUGUGGCCAAGGUGUCCAGGUCUCCUUUCCUUAUCUUGGUCAGGUGUCAAUCAUACACCUGAACCAGUGAGUGGGGGCUGAUGGACCAAUAUUUCCUUUUUGAUUCUCACCACCAACUGAAACACAAAUUGGAAGUCAUCAGAAGCCUCAGUCAUAGAGCAAAGGAAAUCCCUACAGAGGCCGAUAGGAAGAACAAGGAAGAACAAGAAGCCAGGGAGGCAUUGAAGAGCUGUGGCUGCUCUAACUGGGCCCUCCUCAAAGCCAAGGCACCAAGAACCCAGAGGCAACAAAAGAUGGAAGAGCCAGAAAAAGGAGAAGGCAUCAUCAUUCCUUACACAGCUGAAGUCUCUGAGAAACUCCAAAGGAUUUUCAACCAACACAAUAUCAAACCCACCAAUACACAGAGACGUGUUCUAGUUCAUCCCAAGGACAAACUGCCUAAGGAGAGGCAGAGUAACAUGGUAUAUGCUGUUCAGUGCAGUGGCGAAUGGACCGACCUGUACAUUGGGGAAACCAAGCCCCCUCCCCCCACGAACACGUGACCCAGCACAGGAGAACAUGCACCUUAUGACAAGACUCUACAGUCGACCUUCACUUGGAAGAAAAACGACACUCCCUUGAAAACCACAAUGUCAGAAUAUUGACCAGACAAGAGAAAGGGUUUGAGAGAGGAGCCAAAGAAGCCAUCUUUGUAGAAGUGGAAAAACCUUCCCUGAACAGACGUGUUCAGGUUUGUAAAUCUGCUGUCCCUCACCAGCAAAAUGAAGCGGAGGAGAGACGUAAUAUUUUCAAGAACAAAACCAGUCCGGCUGAACAUCGAAAACUACCAAGGAUGAAUGAUGACCCAGACAAAUGAGAACUUACAUAGACAUUUGGGACAGACCCCCUGUGACAGGAACCCAAAUGGAUAUCCAGGAAGCUGGCAGACUUCAGAAACCAUCUAUGUUUCAAUCUGAGAUGUAGAAAACAGAAAAUAAGUCCCAACAGCAAGGCUGCACAAAUUAAUGAAAAAAAGUCAGAUCAACUUCACCAUCAGUGUGGACUGACAAACAGGACAGAAGAAAUACUAACUAAAUUAACCAACCUCCUGCCCAAGGAAAUCCUCUCAGAACUUUCCAGAUUUACUGAAAGGACACAACUUGCCAAACAUACCAAGAGUAAGGACAGACAGGUACAUACAUUUCUGCCAUUACGAAACAGAGAGCUUCAGCCAUAACAAACAACACAGCUCAGAUAGACUGUCAGAAGCAGUGGGUCAGAAAUCUGUCAGAAUUAGUCAGAAGACUUAACUUUGCUGUAACCCCACAGACUGCUGUAAGGGGUUAAUCUUAUCACAACUACGGAGUCUGUAGACAACAAGUUUGCGGACACAGAAUAGAGGCUAAGACUGCAGUUGGUCUUCACUUGGAAGAAACAGGACCUUCCUUUGAUGACAGCAAUGUCCGAAAAUUGGCCAGAGAAGAGAAGGGCAUUGAGAGAGGAGUCAAAGAAGCCAUCUUUAUACAAGUGGGAAAUCCAUCCCUGAACAGAGGUGGUGGUCUGGGACACUGCUUAUCAAAAACUUACACCAUUUUAAACAGCCCCCCCCCCCCCCCCCCCAAGCAAUUCUCACCGAGCAAACUGUUACACCUGGACUCACCUGACAGCGAUCAAGUCCCUCCCCUGAACGACUUGGACAGCGACUUCCCCUUUCUCAAUGACCUUGAAACUUAGAAUCACAUUUCUAUGUACCCGAUACUUCGGGUCGUUAACAUAUGGGGAAAACAACCUACACAGACCACUCCCCCUACAGGUUCAUAAGUCCAUUUCUACAGGUUUAUAAGUCCACUUCUACAGGUUUAUAAGUCCAUUUCUACAGGUUUAUAAGUCCACUUCUACAGGUUUAUAAGUCCACUUCUACAGGUUUAUAAGUCCACUUCUACAGGUUUAUAAGUCCACUUCUACAGGUUUAUAAGUCCACUUCCUCUACAGGUUUGUAAGUCCACUUCUACAGGUUUAUAAGUCCAUUUCUACAGGUUUGUAAGUCCACUUCUACAGGUUUAUAAGUCCAUUUCUACAGGUUUAUAAGUCCACUUCCUCUACAGGUUUAUAAGUCUACUUCCUCUACAGUUUUAUAAGUCCACUUCUACAGGUUUAUAGGUCCACUUCCUCUACAGGUUUAUAAGUCCACUUCUACAGGUUUAUAAGUCCACUUCUACAGGUUCAUACAUCUGCUUUCCCCCACCAGAAAUUAGAACUAAUGGAGUCUUUUGUAUGAGAGGUGAAACAUUUUCAAGAACUAAGCCAGUCCAGGUGAACUUCAGAAACUGCUUUGGACCACAAUAACACAUUAACCCCGUGUGAGUGCGUCAUGUAAGGACAGGACUCUGGGUGUCACCUCAGUGUUAAUACUCUGUAUUUAUAGCUAUGAUCCAGAAACAUGAUCUAGUGCAGAGCAGCGCUGCACAUCAUGUUAAAUUAAAUCUCCGACCGUGAAUGAAGAAACUUGGAGGUGACACUCAGAGUCCAGAACAGAAGCUGGUUCCUCUGAGCUCAUUUUUACAAACAUUUUAGUGUUUCUUAGUGUUUUAUUUUUUUGUCUUAGACUCUGAGGACAAUGUGCUUUGACUGGUGUUGCUGAAAUGAUGUGACAAACGAACACAGUGACUCUCAAGCUGAUUAGCCGUGAUCCCUGAAAACAGACCACCUAAACAUAGGAAUAUGUCAUUCAGUGUUUUCGUGGUAGCGGCCGGCGGUUUGAGAAGCACCAGUGUCAGUUAUACUGAGAUGAUUGUGCUGUUCCAUGUGAUGAGUCGAAAUCCAAGUUCUGGACACAAUUAAAGUCAGCAGAUGAGGAUUGAAACAGUCAGCACUCAUGCACUUUUGGGAGUGGUCAGUCAGUUCUAAAUCCAGUGCACCUUAAAAACAAACAGUACAGACAUCGGUGUGACACUGAACUACGGGAGGACGCUGCAUUCACGAAAGACGACUAAACAAGAUGACAUGACUCAUAAACAUGAGGAAAGUUCAGCCUAGUUGUCAGUCACCACAUAACAUGUCCUUCCUAAAGUUAGGUCUGAGUUUAUCAGAACCUGACACUGACAGAAGUGAUGGGAAUCUCCAUAGCAACCGUACAGACACUACUCGACCCCCUGCCUGUUAAACUGAACCUCCGCUGUUGAACGGUACUAAUACUUAUGGUGAUGGCUAACGAGGCUGAACCUUUGUCGUACUUAUGGGAUCAGAUGUCGUAUCUUUUGUGAAUGUGAGGUGGUUGGUUCUGAACAGACUGGUUUUAGUCCAGUUUAACCCUCGGGUCACCUGUUCUGCUGGUACAGGUUCAUACAGUAUUAGCCUCUGUACUGAUUCAAUGAGAAAUCUUCUACAAACAGCAGGAUCUGUCCACAGGAAACCCAGAGCAGACUGCUCAACUGUCCCAUGUCGGAGCUCGUGUCUUUGAUUAUUAAAGGUAGACUCACAAACUAACAGGUUUAACAGCAAGAUGGGGUUUGUCAUGUGACCUGAAAGGUUUAUUGAGAGAAAAAAGCUGUGAAAGUGGCGCAGGAGCCUGAAGUCCAGAUAGCUGAGGUUUGUGCCGUUUAACUGGAUAAACAUAUGACUUUUUAGAUUAAACAUCUUCAUUAAUGCAGUUUGUAAUCUUAUUUCAUGUCAGAGGAUGGAGCGCAGUGAUGUGAAGACAGGACUGGCUUUGUAGGAAAUGUGUGACUGUAUGCAGGACUGCUCUUUGAGAUUUCACUAAAUACAGCAAAAAAAACCUGUACAAAUGCAUUGAUUUCCAGGUGGAUGGUGUAUAAAUGUCCAAGCCUGGCUGUUUCAGACUAUAGUUUAGAAACAGUUCAGGUUUAAACCGGUCUCCAGUUUUCAGACGUUCUUGGUAUCCAUCAGUCGUUGAAUAUCUAGUCCAGGAUUUCUAGAAUCACAGUUCAAGUGUGAUAGUUUUUGCAUCCAUUUCUGAUUUAGAUUUGACAGAAAAGAGGCUCUGGGAAAUAUUCAAAGCAAUCUGCUGUAAAAUCCACUUAUUUAUGACAAAUGUUAUUUAUGACAAAUGUUAUUUAUGACAAACGUAGCUGCAUUUGUCCCUUUGAAGAUGAAAUGCAGACCAAAGCCCAGUGAUUUACAGAAUCUAAAAUAUGAGUUCAACCCAACUGCGCAUUAAACCCAGUACUAAACCACAGCACGUUUCUGUUCAAAUCGACAAAAAAAAUUCAGUUUUUAUAUUAAUAUAUUUUACACAAUUUACAUUAAACCAAAUCAGUCUCCAAUAAUGGUGGACAGAACUGAUCUGAGGACCUGCCUGAGAAUCAGAAACCUGUAACUGAGGACUUCACACAACAUUCGUUUGUCUGGGUCUGUGAGGCACUGGGAAAAGUGGAGGGAAUCACCAUAGCAACCAUAUAUGAAGGGCAGGAAUUGCUAUGGAAACUAUAUAUUAAGGUGGGAAUCACCAUAGCAACCAUUUAUAAAGGGUGGGAAUCGCUAUAGAAACCAUAUAUUAAGUCGGGAAUCGCCAUAGCAACCAUUUAUAAAUGGUGGGAUUAGCCAUAGCAACCAUAUAUGAAGGGCGGGAAUCGCCAUAGCAACCAUAUGUGAAGGGCGGGAAUAGCAACAAUUCUUCUUCUCUUUGUAAGUUGUCAGACAUUUUAAGAUUGAAGGGACACAACAAACUGAAUGUGAAUGGUGUUUUUGGGUUUAAAGGCGCUGCGCAGACCCUGCUCUCUGGAAUCUUCAGUGAAUGCGACACAGACUAUGGAGAGCCUCUUGCUGCGAACUCUGAAUAGGUUUGUUUCGAUGUGGAAGUGGACGUUGAGUCAAUAUUUGAUGGAUUUUGUGUAGAAAAUGAGCUGGUUGUGUCAGUGACAAAUAAACCAAAACGAACCCUGGUGUGACUUAGUUCAGAUCCCCAAACUGAAUGUGAACAUGCGAUUUACUGUACUGUGCUGAACCAAAUAAAAGUCGGAAUCAUG